AAAUUGAAGAGUUUGAUCAUGGCUCAGAUUGAACGCUGGCGGCAGGCCUAACACAUGCAAGUCGAGCGGUAGCACAGAGAGCUUGCUCUCGGGUGACGAGCGGCGGACGGGUGAGUAAUGUCUGGGAAACUGCCUGAUGGAGGGGGAUAACUACUGGAAACGGUAGCUAAUACCGCAUAACGUCGCAAGACCAAAGUGGGGGACCUUCGGGCCUCAUGCCAUCAGAUGUGCCCAGAUGGGAUUAGCUAGUAGGUGGGGUAACGGCUCACCUAGGCGACGAUCCCUAGCUGGUCUGAGAGGAUGACCAGCCACACUGGAACUGAGACACGGUCCAGACUCCUACGGGAGGCAGCAGUGGGGAAUAUUGCACAAUGGGCGCAAGCCUGAUGCAGCCAUGCCGCGUGUGUGAAGAAGGCCUUCGGGUUGUAAAGCACUUUCAGCGGGGAGGAAGGCGGUGAGGUUAAUAACCUCACCGAUUGACGUUACCCGCAGAAGAAGCACCGGCUAACUCCGUGCCAGCAGCCGCGGUAAUACGGAGGGUGCAAGCGUUAAUCGGAAUUACUGGGCGUAAAGCGCACGCAGGCGGUCUGUCAAGUCGGAUGUGAAAUCCCCGGGCUCAACCUGGGAACUGCAUUCGAAACUGGCAGGCUAGAGUCUUGUAGAGGGGGGUAGAAUUCCAGGUGUAGCGGUGAAAUGCGUAGAGAUCUGGAGGAAUACCGGUGGCGAAGGCGGCCCCCUGGACAAAGACUGACGCUCAGGUGCGAAAGCGUGGGGAGCAAACAGGAUUAGAUACCCUGGUAGUCCACGCCGUAAACGAUGUCGAUUUGGAGGUUGUGCCCUUGAGGCGUGGCUUCCGGAGCUAACGCGUUAAAUCGACCGCCUGGGGAGUACGGCCGCAAGGUUAAAACUCAAAUGAAUUGACGGGGGCCCGCACAAGCGGUGGAGCAUGUGGUUUAAUUCGAUGCAACGCGAAGAACCUUACCUGGUCUUGACAUCCACAGAACUUUCCAGAGAUGGAUUGGUGCCUUCGGGAACUGUGAGACAGGUGCUGCAUGGCUGUCGUCAGCUCGUGUUGUGAAAUGUUGGGUUAAGUCCCGCAACGAGCGCAACCCUUAUCCUUUGUUGCCAGCGGUCCGGCCGGGAACUCAAAGGAGACUGCCAGUGAUAAACUGGAGGAAGGUGGGGAUGACGUCAAGUCAUCAUGGCCCUUACGACCAGGGCUACACACGUGCUACAAUGGCAUAUACAAAGAGAAGCGACCUCGCGAGAGCAAGCGGACCUCAUAAAGUAUGUCGUAGUCCGGAUUGGAGUCUGCAACUCGACUCCAUGAAGUCGGAAUCGCUAGUAAUCGUAGAUCAGAAUGCUACGGUGAAUACGUUCCCGGGCCUUGUACACACCGCCCGUCACACCAUGGGAG
This 1417-nucleotide ribosomal RNA is filed under the name Klebsiella pneumoniae. RNAcentral describes it as "bacterial SSU rRNA". It matches the Rfam family "Bacterial small subunit ribosomal RNA". The record is from RNAcentral. Lineage: Bacteria; Pseudomonadati; Pseudomonadota; Gammaproteobacteria; Enterobacterales; Enterobacteriaceae.